Molecule: RNA transcript, 2183 nt
Organism: Panicum virgatum (switchgrass)
Lineage: Eukaryota; Viridiplantae; Streptophyta; Magnoliopsida; Poales; Poaceae
Exons: 5
Source: RefSeq, a predicted model, not a curated record
ACGGCGUGGCCUCAGCCAUGACAGCGACGUCCGCGUCGCCGCUCGGCCCCGCCCGCCGUGCCGUCCGCGCCCUCACCGGAUCGCGUGCUCGAUGGCGCGUGGCCACCGCCGCCGCCUCUGCUCGGCUGAUCGGGGCAGUGCGGAGGGAGGUCGCGCGCGCGGCGACGGGCCUCGGUGACGAGCUCGCAUUCGUCGCCCGCUCCACCGGUGACCCGCGCCUCAGCUCUCCCCCCGACCCCUCCCUUGGAUCCCAUCUCACCUCCGUGGCUCCGUCCAUCACCAAGCUCCCUCCCUUCCUCUCCCAUCUCCCAGAUCAUCUCCGGCCCCAAGCUCCCUCCCGUUCGAAGUCAAGUUUUCUGCAGGUUCAGUGUGCCUCCGCAACUUGGACGCAGAGCAGUUCAAGGAAUUUCUAUGGUGAUGAAUUUGCUCCUUGAGUACAAACUGUGACGAUGAGCAGAGCUAUUUCUCCAUGUUUUCAGGAAUUUUAUGCAUUGGGACGUGCCCUGAGCCUUCAUUCAUUACCUAAAAGUAGGAAAAUAUGAAGUGGUUCCAUAUAAUCCAACAUGAUCUACAAAUGAGUAAUUUAUCAUUUAACAGAAAAUGAUCUACAUGGCCCUUCUGUUAUUAUUACUCAUAAAUUUAAUGCACUUUUUGUUCAAUCGAUUUGUCUGGAUGCAAUUACCACAUAAUUGCUGCCUCAGAGUGUUCUUGGAAUCAUUCUUGGAGGUGGUGCGGGGACUAGAUUGUCCCCCCUGACAAACAAGUGUGCCAAGCCUGCAGUUCCAUUGGGUGCCAACUACAGGCUCAUUGAUAUCCCUGUCAGCAAUUGUCUCAACAGCAACAUCUCAAAGAUCUAUGUGCUGACACAGUCAAGAGUCUAGGGAAGCAAUAUUGGAGGUUACAAGAAUGAAGGCUCAGGGCACGUCCCAAUGUGGAUUUGUUGAAGUGUUAGCCGCGCAGCAGAGUCCAGAUAAUCCAAAGUGGUUCCAGAAUCACAUGAAUGUCUAAGUGAGGGGAGAUGGAGGCGAUGGCGACGACACAUAGGCGACAGCGGAGGCAAUGGUGGUCUGGGUGCUGGUGGCCGCUGUGCUGGGCACCGCGCGCACCCCUGGACCACAAGCUGCUCAUGGACGCCUCGACCCGCAAUCCUGCACUACUGCACAGGAGAUGUCAAUACACGGCGAUGGCACUGGCGGUGGCGGUGGACGCAGCCAACAGCCCCAUGAAGGGGAGGGCGUAUGCGAUGCCGCUGGUAACCUCUGCAAGAUGGAGCCAGGUCGAGUUGGCCAAAAGCCUCCAUAUCAUCUAUAGCGCCGUCCUCUCCAGCACCUAGGACAUCCUCCAUGGGUUCAUUUCCACCCGCUCAGUGUGCAACAUGCUCCACGGCUAACCGUGUGUUUGGUUGCGGGGUGAAUGGAUUGGGUUGGAUCCAACCCGAAUUCGUCCCACUCUCCAACCAAACAGACGGUAAGAAAUUUCCCAUAGGUUUGUUUUGCCUAUACCCUGCUACGAGAUGUUCAUGCUGGUUUGGUCAAUUGAUGCAUUCUUUACUGUCUUUGUGCGUUCAAUUAGUUAGGAUUCAAAUCUACAACUGGAUUCACAAUGUUAAGUACCAGGGCUUUGCUUUCUUUUGUGUUAAGUGAUCUAGCGUUCAGUGUGCAAUAACGUUUAUUUGAAGCACCGUGAUGCCAUGAUUUUGAUGGAAAUUACUUCUAUAUAUUUGCCGGCUCAUGAGCUGAGGGCCCUACGGCAGCUGGUCCUACAUGCCUAGCGUGUGGAGGGCGAUUGGUGAUGGAGUGCCAAGGAAGGCGCCAAGGAAGCUUUGUGCAUUCUGAUGGAUGAUUGGAGCCAGAAGGUGGACAAGAGGACUGGCUGGGACGGAGUGAUGGAUGGGCAAAACAAUGGCCGUGGUUUGGGUGCGAGCAAUCAGGUUGAAUCAUUCUAUUUAUCAUCGAUGUUCAAAUUUUGGAGUGGCCCCGAAGAAUUGUGCGCAAUAGAGAAUAAGGAAUAAUUUUGAGUGAAGGUCUAGAUUUUGCAUUAGUUGGGAGUGUUGGGUUUAUGUUUAAUAUCCUGUGUCACUGUCAUCUAUCUCAUAUUAAUUAUACUUUAUAUUACUCUUUAUCCUGUCAUGACAUACCUUGAAUAUUUACUAUUAAGAUUCUUGAACAUAUACUUUUCCUUCU